UUUAGCAUGGAAUAAUGGAAUAGGACGUCGGUUCUAUUUUGUUGGUUUCUAGGACCGCCGUAAUGAUCAAUAGGGACGGUCGGGGGCAUCAGUAUUCAGCCGUCAGAGGUGAAAUUCUUGGACCGGCUGAAGACUAACUACUGCGAAAGCAUUUGCCAAGGACGUUUUCGCUGAUCAGGAACGAAAGUUAGGGGAUCGAAGACGAUCAGAUACCGUCGUAGUCUUAACCAUAAACUAUGCCGACUAGGGAUCGGACGGAGUUCUUUCUAGACCCGUUCGGCACCUUUCGAGAAAUCAAAGUGCGUGGGCUCCAGGGGGAGUAUGGCGGCAACGCUGAAACUUAAAGAAAUUGACGGAAGGGCACCACCAGGGGUGGAACCUGCGGCUUAAUUUGACUCAACACGGGGAAACUCACCAGGUCCGGACACAAUGAGGAUUGACAGAUUGAGAGCUCUUUCUUGAUUUUGUGGGUGGUGGUGCAUGGCCGUUCUUAGUUGGUGGGGUGACUUGUCUGCUUAAUUGCGAUAACGAACGAGACCUUGACCCCUAAAUAGCUCGCACCGCCCCGGCGGUGUUGCGGCUUCUUAGUGGGACUAUCGGCUCAAGCCGAUGGAAGUUCGAGGCAAUAACAGGUCUGUGAUGCCCUUAGAUGUCCUGGGCCGCACGCGCGUUACACUGACAGAGCCAGCGAGUUUUUCCCUUGGCCGGAAGGCCCGGGUAAUCUUGUGAAACUCCGUCGUGCUGGGGAUAGAGCAUUGCAAUA
Molecule: ribosomal RNA, 763 nt
Filed under: uncultured fungus
Lineage: Eukaryota; Fungi
Description: SSU rRNA
Rfam family: Eukaryotic small subunit ribosomal RNA
Source: RNAcentral